RNAcentral lists this small RNA (166 nucleotides) under Chrysemys picta bellii (western painted turtle). RNAcentral's name for it is "TUC338 (ENSCPBG00000016850.1)". The record is from RNAcentral. Lineage: Eukaryota; Metazoa; Chordata; Testudines; Emydidae.
UUGUCAUCCCUGGAGAUUGCUGUCCUCUAUUUAUUCCCCAAGCAGAUACAGCAUGGGCAGCACCUCUCAACAUUUUUUCCAUAGAACCUCCAGCUUGAGCCAGAGGAACCCCACCUGGGCGUGACAACUUAAUUCAUUCUCCAUGCCCAAUAGAUCCUUCACAAGA